UACGGGAGGCAGCAGUGGGGAAUAUUGGACAAUGGGGGAAACCCUGAUCCAGCGACGCCGCGUGAGUGAAGAAGUAUUUCGGUAUGUAAAGCUCUAUCAGCAGGGAAGAUAAUGACGGUACCUGACUAAGAAGCCCCGGCUAACUACGUGCCAGCAGCCGCGGUAAU
RNAcentral lists this ribosomal RNA (167 nucleotides) under uncultured rumen bacterium. Its description in RNAcentral is "partial 16S ribosomal RNA". It matches the Rfam family "Bacterial small subunit ribosomal RNA", at positions 340 to 524 of the family's 1533-position model. The record is from RNAcentral.